Molecule: transfer RNA, 75 nt
Filed under: Alistipes sp.
Lineage: Bacteria; Pseudomonadati; Bacteroidota; Bacteroidia; Bacteroidales; Rikenellaceae
Description: tRNA-Arg
Rfam family: tRNA
About the family: Transfer RNA (tRNA) molecules are approximately 80 nucleotides in length. Their secondary structure includes four short double-helical elements and three loops (D, anti-codon, and T loops).
Source: RNAcentral
GGCUCCUUAGUUCAAGGGAUAGAAUGGAGGUUUCCUAAACCUUAGAUUCGAGUUCGAGUCUCGGAGGAGCUACCA